CUUAAAUAUUUGAUGCUCCUGAGCUCCUUUGUACGUAUCUUUUUUAUGCAAUUACAUAGAAUCAUUGAUAACAAAAAAAUGGGUGCAGGAACUCUAUGCUCUAAUGUUAAUCAACAUGCCUACAACCAAAGGAGAGAGUAAAACCCAAAGUCAAGACAAGCAGCUUGAUGCUGAGGGAGAAGAUGGCAACGAGGAUGAAGACGACGAAGAAGAUGAUGAUGGAGAUGGUGCAUUUGGAGAAGGAGAAGAGGAAUUGUCAUCUGAAGAUGGAGGUGGAUAUGGCAACAAUUCCAACAAUAAGAGCAACUCAAAGAAGACUCCUGAAGGUGGUGCUGGUGGGGCAGAUGAAAAUGGAGAAGAGGAAGACGAUGAAGAUGGUGAAGGUGAUGACCAUGAUGAAGAUGACGAUGAGGACGAGGACGACGAAGAAGAGGAUGAGGUCGGAGAAGAGGACGAAGAAGAUGGUGUUGAAGAAGAGAAUGAAGAGGAAGAAGAAGACGAAGAUGAGGAAGCCUUGCAGCCACCAAAGAAAAGGAAGAAGUGAAUUUAGCUUAGUCAAGCCUCCUUUUGUAUUGUUGUGUACGAAUUUGGCUUCUAACUUCCCAUGAUGUUUUUUUUAAGUAUUAAACUUCUAUGUUCUUGUUUUCUUUAUAAGGAGGCCUAUGUAGGACAUGUUUUAAUUGAUAUCUGUGUUUACCAUUGCGUAAUUAGAAUUCUACAUUAUGUUGAGCAGUCAGUCUUAAAUUUACAAGACAGAAAAAAUAAUGAUCCUAGUUAAUUUUAACGUGACUUUUCUCACUUCACCAACUUCUGUAAUUUGUUUAUGUUCUACUACAGUUCC
This 841-nucleotide long non-coding RNA is filed under the name Cicer arietinum (chickpea). RNAcentral's name for it is "long non-coding RNA (CARI_LNC001755)". Lineage: Eukaryota; Viridiplantae; Streptophyta; Magnoliopsida; Fabales; Fabaceae. The record is from RNAcentral.